UGAGCAGGGGCAUCUUCAGGUAGAUGUUUUGUACUCUCCAGCUUGGAGGCUUAGUCUAUACCAUUUUUGAAAGUUAGUGGAUUCUGAGGAAACUGUCAGACAAAACAUAGUGGCUGCUGGAGACAGCAAUUUGCAGGGGUGGCAGGAAAAGCAGCAAAAGAGGGAGGAAAGCGUUGAGGAAAUCCAAGCACCUGAGGAAUGUACGUAAGAAGAUACCUUAUCCUUCUGGAAACUUGUUAAAAAGGACUAAGAGAAGGCCUUUUUUACCGACUUAGCGCAGCCCAGUGCCGGUACUUUCCAAGUUUUUUGGAAAAUGAAGGUGAUUUUGUCUCAUUUUGUUCCUCUUGCUCUUCUCUUUUUAUGAUUAUCAUUCAGGACUCGGUCAGCUAUUCAAUAAGUUCACCAGUGCAGCUGGCUUCAGAAGAAGAUGUUUCCUAUUCUUUGCGUUCAUAGGCUCAUAAAUCCAGCCUGCUGAGAAUAUUAAAAGGAGAAAAAUACUCAGGCAGGAAUAAAGCAUAUCAGAAAGAGAGACUGAAUGUAACUGGGGAAACAUUUACUCAAAUUACAUAUUAAGCAAUUUGCUCUUUAAUACUGAAGGAAUAUAUAGAGAAAAUAUAUUAACUGUACUUACCAAGAGCCCUCUGAAUCCAUCAAAUGCUGUUAAAACCAGACAUUUUUGAACAAGAAGAACAUUCUGUAUACCAUGUAUUGUUUUCAAAAGUUAUUUUUAGUGCAGUAAAUAUUAAA
Long non-coding RNA from Lepidothrix coronata (blue-crowned manakin), 747 nucleotides. RefSeq lists it as uncharacterized. Lineage: Eukaryota; Metazoa; Chordata; Aves; Passeriformes; Pipridae. The transcript has 4 exons. The record is from RefSeq and is a predicted model, not a curated record.